This 77-nucleotide transfer RNA is filed under the name Vibrio phage KVP40. RNAcentral describes it as "tRNA-Lys". It matches the Rfam family "tRNA". Rfam says of the family: Transfer RNA (tRNA) molecules are approximately 80 nucleotides in length. Their secondary structure includes four short double-helical elements and three loops (D, anti-codon, and T loops). Lineage: Duplodnaviria; Heunggongvirae; Uroviricota; Caudoviricetes; Pantevenvirales; Straboviridae. RNAcentral also lists the same sequence under 6 other names. The record is from RNAcentral.
GCGUCGGUAGCUCAUCAUGGAAGAGCAGGGAGCUUUUAACUCUCAGGUGUCUGGUUCGAGUCCAGGGCGGCGUACCA